This 500-nucleotide ribosomal RNA is filed under the name uncultured bacterium. RNAcentral describes it as "partial 16S ribosomal RNA". It matches the Rfam family "Bacterial small subunit ribosomal RNA", at positions 30 to 523 of the family's 1533-position model. The record is from RNAcentral.
AUUGAACGCUGGCGGCAUGCCUUACACAUGCAAGUCGAACGGCAGCACGGGAGCAAUCCUGGUGGCGAGUGGCGAACGGGUGAGUAAAGUAUCGGACCGUGCCCAGUCGUGGGGGAUAACGUCGCGAAAGUUACGCUAAUACCGCAUACGAUCUAUGGAUGAAAGCGGGGGAUCGCAAGACCUCGCGCGAUUGGAGCGGCCGAGAACGGAUUAGGUAGUUGGUGGGGUAAAGGCUCACCAAGCCGACGAUCUGUAGCUGGUCUGAGAGGACGACCAGCCACACUGGGACUGAGACACGGCCCAGACUCCUACGGGAGGCAGCAGUGGGGAAUUUUGGACAAUGGGCGAAAGCCUGAUCCAGCCAUGCCGCGUGCAGGAUGAAGGCCUUCGGGUUGUAAACUGCUUUUGUACGGAACGAAAAGGUUUGGCCUAAUAAGCUGAGCUCAUGACGGUACCGUAAGAAUAAGCACCGGCUAACUACGUGCCAGCAGCCGCCGUAA